UUUGCCUACGGGAGGCAGCAGUAGGGAAUCUUCCACAAUGGGCGAAAGCCUGAUGGAGCAACGCCGCGUGGGUGAAGAAGGUCUUCGGAUCGUAAAACCCUAUUGUUAGAGAAGAAAGUGCGUGAGAGUAACUGUUCACGUUUCGACGGUAUCUAACCAGAAAGCCACGGCUAACUACGUGCCAGCAGCCGCGGUAAUACGUAGGGGGCAAGCGUUAUCCGGAUUCACUGGGCGUAAAGGGAGCGCAGGCGGCAUGGCAAGUCUGAUGUGAAAACCCGGGGCCCAACCCCGGGAGUGCAUUGGAA
RNAcentral lists this ribosomal RNA (305 nucleotides) under uncultured bacterium. RNAcentral's name for it is "bacterial SSU rRNA". It matches the Rfam family "Bacterial small subunit ribosomal RNA", at positions 334 to 631 of the family's 1533-position model. The record is from RNAcentral.